UACAGAGGUCCCAAGCGUUGUUCGGAUUCAUUGGGCGUAAAGGGUGCGUAGGCGGCUCAGUAAGUCGGGUGUGAAACCUCCAGGCUCAACCUGGAGACGCCACCUGAUACUGCUGUGGCUGGAGUCCGGUAGGGGAGCGUGGAAUUCCUGGUGUAGCGGUGAAAUGCGCAGAUAUCAGGAGGAACACCAGCGGCGAAGGCGGCGCUCUGGGCCGGUACUGACGCUGAGGAGCGAAAGCGUGGGUAGCAAACAGG
Molecule: ribosomal RNA, 254 nt
Filed under: uncultured bacterium
Lineage: Bacteria
Description: partial 16S ribosomal RNA
Rfam family: Bacterial small subunit ribosomal RNA
Source: RNAcentral